GGAGAGUUGGCCGAGUUGGCUGAAGGCGCUCGCCUGCUAAGCGAGUAAGGGGCUGAUAGCCCCUUCGAGGGUUCGAAUCCCUCACUCUCCGCCA
Molecule: transfer RNA, 94 nt
Filed under: Coriobacteriia bacterium
Lineage: Bacteria; Bacillati; Actinomycetota; Coriobacteriia
Description: tRNA-Ser
Rfam family: tRNA
About the family: Transfer RNA (tRNA) molecules are approximately 80 nucleotides in length.
Source: RNAcentral